RNAcentral lists this long non-coding RNA (1460 nucleotides) under Bos indicus x Bos taurus (hybrid cattle). RNAcentral describes it as "lncRNA (ENSBIXG00005003955.1)". Lineage: Eukaryota; Metazoa; Chordata; Mammalia; Artiodactyla; Bovidae. The record is from RNAcentral.
AGGUGGAGAGAACAGAGCUAAUCAGACCCACCAACCCAAACUUCUAUAGCUAUUCUGAGUCUAGAAAACAUCCUCUACUUCCUAUGGAAGAUCGUGUCUGGAUGCACAUGUUUCAUACUAAGCACUUUUCCCUAGGGAAGGACAAAAGCCAUCCUCUUGCUCUCAAGUGAACUGGAGAGUGAGCUGGCCCCUGAAGAGGGAGCCGUAGGGUCUGGCCACCUGGUGUGCAGUGGCUGUGAGCAGAGAUCUGACCACAGGUGGUGUGGGAAGGUUUCACUCUAAUCUGGUGGCACCCGCUGCUCCUCCAGACCUCAGUGCCUCCCUUCAGCUCAUCCUCUUGAUAGGCUCUCACCACGAUCCUGGAUUCUAUCACCACUCAGCCCUCUCCAGCCUGUUAGCCACCAGCAGGGCCUGAUAAUGGACUCUGUGUUACUUUGGUCUCCAGGUGAAAUCCCUAAGGGCCCUGCCAUGCACUCCAGUCCUGUGCCCCUUGCCUUCAAGGAGACAUGCAAGAAGCGAAGCCACCAGAGGCCCAUCCUUCCUGCUGUUUUAAGGACCUCUGGUGGCUUCACUUCUUGCAUGUCUCCUUGAAGGCAAGGGUCACAGGACUGGAGUGCAUGGCAGGGCCCUUAGGGAUUUCACCUGGAGACCAAAGUAACACAGAGUCCAUUAUCAGGCCCUGCUGGUGGCUAACAGGCUGGAGAGGGCUGAGUGGUGAUAGAAUCCAGGAUCGUGGUGAGAGCCUAUCAAGAGGAUGAGCUGAAGGGAGGCACUGAGGUCUGGAGGAGCAGCGGGUGCCACCAGAUUAGAGUGAAACCUUCCCACACCACCUGUGGUCAGAUCUCUGCUCACAGCCACUGCACACCAGGUGGCCAGACCCUACGGCUCCCUCUUCAGGGGCCAGCUCACUCUCCAGUUCACUUGAGAACAAGAGGAUGGCUUUUGUCCUUCCCUAGGGAAAAGUGCUUAGUAUGAAACAUGUGCAUCCAGACACGAUCUUCCGUAGGAAGUAGAGGAUGUUUUCUAGACUGAGAAUAGCUAUAGAAGUUUGGGUUGGUGGGUCUGAUUAGCUCUGUUCUCUCCACCUUCUCUCUUUGCUUCUCUAAUUGGUGAAUGGUGUGGUCAGGGAGGAAAGGGGCCUGGGAGUGCCCUCCCACCCCUGGAAAUGUGACUGAACUGAGCCUGAAGCCUCUGGUGUUCUUCUCUAAGAAGAACUUGGUUGUCAUUGCAGAGCUGAGGUGUGGACUCCAGGCCCGGACUGUAGAAGUAAAAGGUGGAGCCUGUCCUGGGAAAUGCAGGCAGGCAAGUCACACAUUUGAGUAACAGAGGCUCUCUGCUCAUUCUGAUUCUCCAAACAUCUUGUCCAACCCAGCAGAAGACCAUGAGGAGCUCAACUCCUGAAUGUAGAGCCUUGUGGGCCCUGUGUCUUCUCCGUGUGGGUUCUUUGUGUGCAUUUCGCA